CGCUUCGCUUCCCCCAAACCGCAGGCGCACCCCCACCAACCAAAAAACCACAACCUCCCCCUCUCCUCUCCUCUCCUCGCCGCCGGCGCCGCCGCCGCCGCCGUCACCGCCGCCUUCUCCCUCUCCAGCCUCUCCUUCUCUCCGCCACGAGGCUAAACAAGAUCAUUCAUUCCAUUAGUCAUAAAUAAAGACCAUUGUUGAAUCAAAAGAGAAAUAAGGUCACUAUCCAAUUGAAGACCAAAAACAGGGUACUGUGAUUUGUUGUACAGGAUAAAAGUUUGUCGACAUAAUUUCCGGCCAUUGGAGUACUGGCAGGUGUUAUACCCCGAAAGGAGUUUCUUGUAAAUUUUCUGGUGUAUUGUAUUGGCGGCUUUGUUGUUUCUCUGGAAUUGGCAAUAAUGUCAGAAAGUGAGUUGGCAGUAAUAAAGCCAGAGGCGUUGAAGAGUUAUAUUUGGCUUCAGUGCUUUGAUGGUUCCAUACAACAAGUGGAGGAGGAGGUUGCCAUGUUUUGCCCUAUGAUAUGUCGAGAGAUAGUAAAAAAUGGAACAGGAUCAUCAAAAAAUCAUGCAAUUGCUCUCCCAGAAAGAGUUAACCCUACAAGUUUGAGUUUGAUUCUUGACUAUUGUCGGUUUCAUCAAGUCCCAGGGCGCUCAAACAAGGAGCGAAAAUCAUUUGAUGAAAAGUUUGUCAGAAUAGAUACAGAAAGACUAUGUGAGCUGACAUCGGCGGCUGAUAGUCUCCAAUUAAAGCCAUUGGUUGAUCUUACCAGUCGAGCACUUGCUCGAAUAAUUGAAGGAAAGACACCUGAGGAAAUUCGUGAUAUUUUCCAUUUGCCAGAUGACUUAACAGAGGAAGAGAAAUUGGAACCCCUGAAAAAUAUAAAUGAUGAUCCCAGGAUCCGUUUGUUGAAUCGAUUAUAUGCAAAGAAGCGGAAAGAACUACAGGAGCGCCAGAAACUGAAGGAUGUUCAAGUACAAGAAGAGCAAAAAGAUGAGCGGUCACUGGAUGAGAUACUAUGUUUUAUAAAUGGGGAUGGAGGUUCUGGAGGUGGGAAAGCUUCUAAGAAUAAGAAAAAGAACAAGAGAAGAAAGGACCAUUCUAAGAACCCCCCAAAAGCUAAUCCUGAACCUGUAAACAAGGAGGAAGCUACUCGUGGAGUUCCAUUCAAUGCGGGUACUGGUAAUAUUUCUAGAACACCUUGCCAAAGCUCAGAUGUGCAAGAUGAUGUUGAGUACCCCUUUGAAGAUGCUGACCUUGAUGAUGGACUUGAUCCUGCAAUGCAGGAAGAGCUUGACAGAGAAGUGGAGGACUUCGCAAGGAGGUUGAAUUCUGUUUGGCCUGAAAGAAUGCAUUUAGGCCAAGAAAGAAGGAUUGAGUCACAUAUGAUUGGUGGCAAUGGUUCUCUGCAAAGAUUUUCUGGGUUCAAUCACAGGUGAGAAGGUUAAGCGCCAGGAUCAACAAGCAGAAGCACAGGAAAUUUGUGCACAUGCAGCUUGGAAGAGAGCUAGAGACCACCGAACAGGGCCACCUGUUUACUUGAAUGGAGGCCAUCACGUCACGUGCGAGGGAUAGGAGGAUUACCUAACCUAGCUAGUACCUGCCAUCAACGUCAAGGACAGGGCCGAAAAGAUUCUGGCCGCUGGGCCAAGAAGUAGCAUCUUCUCAAGCUCAACAUGGAGAUGGAGAUGGAGUAGGGUAUUUACAAAGAUGAAGCAUUCAAUGGGUGAAGGCAGGCAUGCCAAAGGUACGUACGUUAACGUACUUGUUGAUGGACCAGACCAGAGCAAAGGGAGCAUUCAUGUCUAGCAAUGAGGUGAGAUUUCAGUUGAUGCAACCACCAAUAACUUCCAUCCAGCUUACUUUGCGCGAAAAUUCAUCUCACUCGAGGGAAUGGACUUUGAGUCGCAAUCUUUCGGGGGCCUCUCCAACCAUCCUGAGAGGCGACCCCAAACCCAAAGGCCAAAUCAAUCUCUCGUGUGAGUUGUGACCUCCUUUCCCUUUCCUUUCGUCUCUGGCAGCCGGCAAAGGGUCCCAUAUUCAGGUUCAUCUCGUUAUUGUUCCUUUUUUUUCCCUCUUUCUUUCUUGUGUAGUUCGAACAAGAUGUGGGCGUCCAUCUUCCUCGUCCGGCUCAUCGACGCAAUAGUAGGCGGAGGCAGCAUUUUAGCAAGACUAGGGCUGAACCAUAUAGCUAUCAAUUUUUUUUUUGCAAAUUCUACGUAAAUUUCAAUAUUCCAGUGUUUCUCCCUUGAAAAUUUUUGCCACGUGUGGGGCCCAAGCCCAAGCUACCCCACACGUGGCUCCGCCCCUGGUAGGGUCCGACGUCUACGGCCGCUGAAGGGAGAAUAGCAUAUCUACUCCAAAAAUAGUAUUAAAUUCAUAGUUUUAUGAUAAUUUGAUAGUUUUAUGAAAUUUGCUCUAAGAUAUAUGUA
Non-coding RNA from Oryza sativa Japonica Group (Japanese rice), 2429 nucleotides. NCBI's taxonomy places the organism in Eukaryota, Viridiplantae, Streptophyta, Magnoliopsida, Poales, Poaceae. The record is from RefSeq and is a predicted model, not a curated record.